RNAcentral lists this ribosomal RNA (261 nucleotides) under uncultured Actinomycetes bacterium. RNAcentral describes it as "uncultured actinobacterium partial 16S ribosomal RNA". It matches the Rfam family "Bacterial small subunit ribosomal RNA", at positions 1025 to 1285 of the family's 1533-position model. Lineage: Bacteria; Bacillati; Actinomycetota; Actinomycetes. The record is from RNAcentral.
GGGUGGUGUACAGGUGGUGCAUGGCUGUUGUCAGCUCGUGUUGUGAGAUGUUGGGUUAAGUUCCGCAACGAGCGCAACCCCUAUCCUAUGUUUCCAGCGGGUGAUGCCGGGGACUCAUGGGAGACUGCCGGGGUCAACUCGGAGGAAGGAAAAGAUGACGUCAAAUCAUCAUGCCCCUUAUGUCCUGGGCUUCACGCAUGCUACAAUGGCCGGUACAAAGCGCUGCGAUACCGCAAGGUGGAGCGAAUCGCAAAAAGCCGG